GUGUGUGUGUAAUGAGUUUAUAAACUUUAGAGUGGAGAGCUCUGAAAAUGUCUUCUAUUAACCAAAGGGGGCUUUAACAACUUAGAAAUAAAACAAAAAUGAUGAAUUAAAAUUUUGGCCAGAGAGAAGUAUAUCUGAAGGUGAACUGGAUGGUGAUUCUGGAUUAAACAUGAGGAUGAAUAAAGGAAAUAGAUUCCUUUCUCUCUUGCAAGGCAGCCAAGGAAUCAAAGAACUAGAGUAAACCAUCUUGAAACAAUAUAGAAGCAGUUGAGAUUUCAUCUAUUCAUUUGUACAUAAGUUGAUCCAUUCCUUCAAAGAUAUUUUUUGAGCAGCUAAUAGCAUUGGGGAUGCAGUGGUUAUUUGUUAUUGGAUAAGACAGUAUUCAUACCCUCAUGGAACAUUCAGUCUAGUGUGAGAUGAUAGGAGACUGAAGUAAAGCGUUAAAUUCUAGGAUGGAGGACUCUGUGACAAGGAGAGACCAAGGUACUACGGACAGUAUGGUGGUGUGUGUAUAAGGGAUUUCCAAUGAAGGCUUCCUGGAGGAGGUCCCAUAUAAUCACAGGUCUGAAAGAUGAAUCGGGCAUAAUCAGGUGAAAGCAGGCAGAGUAUAAUGAGAGCUCAAAGUCCAAGGAACAGCUUAUAUAAAAGCACAGAAGUCAAAGCAUAAUAAGAGGCCAGUAGAACAUACAGUCAUUUAGUUCUGGGUACAGUGCUAGGUUUAGGUUCUUAAGACAAAUAAGACAUGACUCCUGUUUCUUUGUAAAACUAUAUUUGUAUGUAUAUGCACACAUGCAUACAAACAGCAGCAGUUAUUCUAAAAUCAUGAGUGUUCAUUUUCAAAUAUUUGGCACUCGGCUUUCUAGGAUCAGGAGUAAAAUUCCUGGUUCACUUGUGCUUGGAAGGGGCCAUAUGAUUAUUUCGUGCCAGUGAGUUGUGAAUGGAGGGCAUGUGCGUCACUUCUGGUUCAAAGUAUUUACUUGCCAGGGCCUUCUUUCCUUCAGCCAUGGCAACUCAGCCGUGUUCCAUAUAGUGCCUGUCGAUCAUCCUGGGGCUCAGACGGAGGUCAGUAUAGAACAGAGCCCCCAACGGGCAUAUUAAUGACAUUUAGUACAAGUGAGAGAUACUUUUUUCAUUUUAAGGUAAUUUUUUGGUCUUCACAGAGAUGCAGGGUAUUUGUUAUAGCAGCAUAACCUAGCCCACUGUGAUAUCUACAAAAUAAGAAGCAGCAUUUUCAAUUAAAUUGAAUUAGUAAUCAUUUAAAAUUUCCUCAGUCUGUGUUAAAUGUUAUGGAUAUAAGGGCUAUAAAGACAGGUGCUCUUCCUGCCAAGUAUGGCAUUGGGGAGAGAGACUCAUGAUCCAGUCAGUUGGUUGCUAUGAGGUCAGUGAAAGGGAGAAACACAGGUCUCUGGGAGCAUAUACAGGGACAUGGACUUCAGCCCAGAGGGGUAUAGAAAGUAAAAGAGGCCAAAACUGAUUCUGGAAAGAUGCCUAGGAGAGAGCCAGGUUGAAAAGAUGGGAAAGGAUAUUCCAGGCAAUGAAAAGAACAGGAGGAACUAUACAGGGAGAUUAAGCCCUGACUUAAUCAGGCAGCAGGCAUUUUCCUUGUGAGGACCAGGAAGUCUAGCGUUUUCUAAGCCAAGAAAUUUUAGAGCACAGAGCACAAAGUACAAAUUUUAGAGUCCUCUGUAGCUAUAGAUGGCAUGUUUGUGUCCCUGCCAAAUGCAUAUGUUGAAACCUAAUCCACAAUAUGAUGGUUUCUGGAGCUGGAGGUAGAGCCCUCAUGAGUGGGGAUAGUGCCUUUGUUAGAGGGACCCCAGAGAGAUCCCUCACCCCUUCUACCAUGUGAGGUUAUGGUGAGAAGGUGGCUAACUAUGAGCCAGGAAGUAGAUGCUCACCAGACACCAAAUCUGCCGGCCCCUUGAUCUUGGACUUCCCAGCGUCUAGAACUGUGAGAAAUAAAUUUCUGUUGUUUCUAACUCACCCAGUCUAUGGAAUUCUGUUAUAGCAGCCUGAAUGGACUACGAUAACUGCCCUGGUGGAUUUCCUGUAAGAACCAAAUCAGGGCUCAAACAAACAAGCAAACAAACCAAAAAGGAUAGAAAUACAACAGAAACAACCAGUGACUGACCAAGCAUAGCUGGCAGAAGGAACAAUCUAUUGUUUCUUGGGAAUCCUGCCUGGUGAGGGCCAAGUGGAACUACAAGGUUCUGUAUGAACUUCACAUUCAGACCUUAAACAUCUAAAGGUCUCUUGUAGUCUCUGGAAAGGAAGCAAGGGACAGUGCCACACCCACAUGACAUCACCGUGCUCACUUCUAAAGAACAGAAACCUCUUAAAGCUAAGGUGUGUGGCUGGGUGUGCUUCCAGUGCUUCUUUAACAAGAAGAGAAACCUGAUAGAACAAGAGUUUCAACUUAGUACAUGGCUGCUCCAGUUAGAGGGUCUGUUUGUGGUUAUUUGAGUGUGGGGCAGAGUGUGUAUUUAGAACUCGUCCCAGUUUUCUUGAAACCUGCUUUUCUUCACCUCAUUACCAACUGGUAGCCAUGCAUCCAAAUGCUAAUUUUUCUUAAUUAAAUAUAUGACAGUUUUAAAAAAUUACUUCUCUUUCCAUUCUAAUUAGAUGUUAGUGAUUCUGCUCUCUCCACUAAUUACUGCAUGUCUUCCUUCUGAAGACUAUAUAUAUGUAUAUACUAUAUAUAUGUAUAUACAUAUAUGUAUAUAUAUAAGUAUAUAUAAAACCAUAUACGUAUUUAUAUGCACACAUUCAUAUAUGUGUGAACAUAUGUAUGUGAAUAUAUAUGUAUACACACAGAUAUAAAAUUGAAAUUUUAAUAACCUUCCUCUUGGGAGAAUGCAUCAUUGAUAAAAAUAUCCCUGCCUUGGGUUGGUAGUUUUCUGGGAUUUCAAUUUCAAUAGCUUCUUCCGUAUUAGGCUGCUUUCAUCUCAGAGGAAAUAAUCAUAUCUAGGUUUGGCUCUGUUCAAUGGGGCAUGACUACACCAGAAUGGGUUUCUUCCUGAACAGAAAAAGAAAAUCGGAAAAAAAAUAAUAAAAGCCCAGCACACCAAACUCCAAAUUAUCUAAAUCCAUUUUCAAUGAAGAGCUUGGUGGCUUGGUAAGGAUGAUGACUUUUGAAGGAAAAAAAUCCAUUGCAAAAUCCCAUUUCCCAUGCUGUAGGGUUAGGAGAAUAAGUUGCACCCAGGGAGGAGGGGGCAUGCUCCUUUUGACAUGUAAUAAAGCAGGUGGCCUCAUUUGAAUUUUCCCAUUAGGUCUCCUGGAGUGAUCUCAGAAAUACGUUGGCCUUGCAAACUGUAACUCAGCCUUGGCUCCCUGACUCCAGGAGAGCCAAACAGCAGAAUUAGAGUUUUUCAGACAGCAGAAUUAGAGUCUGAAUUACUUGAAAUGUCCAGCAGGAAGUUAUUUGUUAUCGUGUUGGGUUUCCUAUUUGCCACAGAAUAUUAAAUAGGUUUCUUAUUUUCCACAGAAUAUUAAUAAUUGGGCUUGAAAGUGGGCAAAUGCCUUCUCUGCCAACCAGCCUUUUUCUUUUUGCCUCUCAUCCUGUUUUCCCACCACAAGGAUCAAUGGAGAUGUUUCCAUCCCUCAUCAAGAUGGGGGCUAUCUAGAUGGAGCAUCUGAUACUGACAGGCUCACGGUUAAAGUCAGAGAUAAUUAGCCCAAAUAUAGGCAUUCCCAGCAGAGGUGUGAUGAAUAAGUGCCAAUGCAGGAGACACGGUCCGAUCCCUGGUCUGGGAAGAUCCCACAUGCCACGGAGCAACUAAUCCCACGCGCCACAACUACUGAGCCUGCGCUCUAGAGCCUGUGUGCCACAGCUACUGAAGCCCGCGCGCCUAGAGCCCGUGCUCUGCAACAGGAGAAGCCACCACAAUGAGGAGCCCGCACACCAACAAAGAGUAGCCCCUGCUCGCUGCAACAAAGACCCAAUGCAGCCAUUAAAAAAAGGAAGAAAAAAUCAGUUUCAUUCCUUUGUUCAUUCAGCAGAUGAAUAUUGAAGGAACCUAAAUGGUACAAGCAACAUGGCCCCUGUCCUCAUGUGGUACACAAUCAGAAGAGACAUUGGAGAAAGAAUUAGCAAAACAUUAAUUAAUUGAAACUUUGAAAAGUGUUAUGAAAGAGAAGUAUAAGAAGCAAUGAGAAAACAUAUCAGAGGGACUCAAAAAUAUAGUUGUCCCACACAGGCUAAUAAUUUGGUAUGCUUUCAAACAGAUUUAAAAAAAAAACUUGUUCAUCUUUUAUUUAUCGGAGGCAGGAAGAAACUGAUUUGAAAAAAAAAUCACUUCAUUUUACUAAAGAAACAGAAAACAAGAUCUUUUCAGGAUAUGUAUGAGAGAGAAUAUACACUGAUGCGGCAGACAGGCAUGGAUUUAUGAAUGUGCUUUGUGGGGCGAUCGCAGAGCUGUCACUAGCAGCCUAUGCAGAGUGACAAAUCCACUGGGUCAGAGGAGUACAGGCCUUCUAGCUACCUGUCUUCCAUCUUUGUUGAGGCUGGUGACCCAGUCCUAACAUCUAGGUUCUGGGUUCUUACUAUGCUGUAGCUGGGAGGGUUAUAGAAUGCUUCCAAGCAUCUUGCACAACCUAAUGGCUUUUCCCUUUAGUUCUUGCUACAUCCAUUGGGCCCCAGUAUGACAUUGCUAGGGACUUCUAGCAACUCUCUUACUAUAACUGGGUUAGAUAUUUUGGGGGUGGCUGGAGAUCAUCCUAAUUAGUGGGGGUAGGAAAAAAGAGGCAAUAAUUAAAGAACUGCAUUCUGUUACUGGCAGUGCCAGCCCAUCCAGAACCCAUGGGCCAAUGAAGAGUUAUAACUCAACUAACCAGCUGAUGUAAUGGGCAUUUGUGGAAGAGUCUCGGGGAGCCUGAGCUUAUGCAAGGUCUAAACACUUCUUUCUUUUGCUGUGGUCACCCAUGUUCUCCCAACAGCACCAUCAUUCUGUGCCCUUUAUGUCUUCUAAUGCCCCAACGCGGCCUGAGCCUUUAUCCAGACAGCCCGAGGCUCCAGCAGCAAGCUCACUACAAGGAUGCAUACGGCUGAGGGCCACAGGGUGCAGGUGGCUGUGGUACUCAUAUGUGGGUGCAUUCCUCAGUGCUGCAUGCUAUUUUUAUUCUUUGAAUCAUAUUUCAUGCGUAUGACCUACUUACUCACCUGAUCAGGGAGAUCCUUAUAGGUAGAGUCAGUGUUUCAUUCACGUGUCCCGUGACCCGUAGUAAGUGUCCAAUUAACGGUUGAAGAAUAAAUAAAGAGAACUUCCUCUGGCUGGCUCUUGCUGGGCUCCACCAGACACUGGAAGCUGGUGGGAAGUCUGUGUAUCCAAAAAUAAAACUGAUAGCAGUAGAACCUGUAAUUUGGCUUGCCUGGGAGAGGUGGGUGGUAAAAACAGAGGGCAUAGCCAUGGAACCCAUGGCCUGAAUGUAGCCAGACUUCCAAGAAACUUAUUUUAAAUUAAUUAAAACUGUAUACCAAAAUAGCUCCACCCAUUAAUUGACUUCCACUGACUGAAGCAGAAUUGAUAUUUGUGCAUGUUUCUGUCAAAAUGUUUUCUGUAUUUCCGUAGUUCUUAUUCUUACUUAAGUUUUCUUUCGUAAUUUCCCAAGACAGAAAUCAUCUUGUGAAACAUGUUAAAGGAUCCAACAUAUAGAUAUUAAAAUAAAUAAUUUGCUCUCAUUUCACCCCGUGGAUUAUUGGGAUUCCAGAUCUCAGCUGACUGCCGAUAACAUACAUCUGUUAAAAAAAUACGCAUCACAGGUGGGCUCAGCCCAGCAAGAAAUAUUUGCUUCAGUUUAUACUCAAGGACACAUAUUACAAAGAAUAUUUGGGUGGACUGGACUGGCAGUGGAGCCAACAUCACGUGCUUGCACUGCGUGCCCUGGGAUUACAUCAGAGACAUCAUCCAUGCCUGUGCUUCCCGGCACACCUCCCCACGCCUUCAAAUGAGGCCUCCCUCCGUCUGUCACAAAGACCAAGAAAAGGUUCCGGUCCCUUGAGGUUGGAGAAGAAAGCAACUGUGAAGAAACAAGCUAUUAAUAUUAAUGUUCCAGGAAAAGGAGAAGAGAGAAAGGACGUGGGGUGCCCAGAAAGAAUGACUCCAUAUGGCUUUGAUGUGUUCCUUUCCACAGGACGGGAGCAGCACGGAGAAUACAGAAUAACGAGGAGGAGGGAAAGGAGGAGGUGGAGGUGGCCUGGCAGCAUCUGAGAAAUUAUGUGAGCUGUGGGGAGUAGGUUCUGUCUAGACAAAAAGUCAGCCAGCCACGCUGCCAUCUGCAGCCGUCAGAGAACAAGCCAGCAAGGGAAGGGGGAGCCCGCAGGUGCCCUGUUUAUUCCAAUUAGUGGGUGUGUAGGAUAUUUUCUCUAAAGGACUGUUGUUGUGCUAAACCUGGGGGAGCACCUGCUAUUAUUGAGACCCUUCCCAAAGAUCUCCUUUUUUGUGGACCUCUUCAGGCACAGUUUAUUAUUAUUAUUUUUGCCUCUCCAUUGAAGUCCUAUUGUACCCCUUAAUUUCUCACGUGGAUAUAUUGUCUGAUUCUUAAGAGCUCAGUCGGCAGUUUGACCUCAAUUUAGAUCCUGCCUGUAUCUCUCUCUGGCCUUGCCAUGGUGGGCAAAUUACUCCACCUCUGAGAGCCUCUGUUUUCUCUUCUAUAAGAAAUGUAAGUAAUAGUGAGGAGGUAGUUUGUGUACAGGCUCUAACAACAGUUGCCGGUCUUAUGACUGCUAGAGCCUGUUCUCUCUCUCUCUCUCUUUUUUUUAAGAUUCUUUUGAUGUGAACCAUUUUCGAAGUCUUUAUUGAAUUUGUUACAAUAUUUUUUCUGUUGUAUGUUUCGGUUUUUUGGCCAUGAGGCACGAGGCAUGUGGGAUAUUAGCUCCCUGACCAGGGAUCGAACCCGUACCCCGCGGGCAUUGGAAGUCAGAGUCUUAACCACUGGACUGCCAGGGUCAUCCCACCUGUUCUUUCUCUUCCUCAAAACAGAGACAGCAGAGGGCAAGGUGGUGAAGGAGUGACAGCAAAUGGAAACAUCUUGGGAUAGUCCAUUACUAGCAGCACAGAUAUUUCACACUCUGUUGAAGGAAACAAGCUUCCUUGGAAUACUUGAGGUAAAGCCUCUAUAUGUUGAGUGAACUUUGAUGCUUUUGCACAAGUAGAAACUGAGACUCUACUCCCCACAAGUAAUAACGAUCUCGACACAUGAAGAAAUAUUUCAGGCUGAAUCACCUGGGAGGUGUGACAUUAAAUUAAAGGAAUUUAAAAAUUGAUAAUUAUGUGACAUAUUAGAGGUGUUAGCUAAUAUGAUUACUGUGAUAAUUGUAUUGCAAAAUGUAAAUGUAUCAAAUCAACAUGUUGUAUAUUUUAAACUUACGCAAUGUAUGUCAAUUAUAUCUCAAUUUGAAAAAUAACUUAGAAAAGGCAAAAAGAAGAGGAAUUAGAUGAGAGCUCAGACUAUGGCUAACUAUUUUCAUUUUCUUCGUGAUGACGAAUGGUGAGUGAGUAGCAGAAACCCACCAAAUAAUAUCUGUAGUAUGUUGUACAAUAUAAAAUUUUAGUCAGUUCAGUAAACCCUGUCUAUUUGCCAUACUAUACAGUGGCAUUAGUCUUGUUCAGUUAUUUCUUUUGAUCAUCUUUGUAGAGUCUCACAUUAAAGAACCCUUUAGGUAUUAAAUUAAACCUGGAUGGACCCUACCUGAAUAUUGUUGACAACAUUCUGUUGCUCAGAGAAAGGAAAAUCUUAUUAGGCAAAUCCGCUUAAGAAUGCUGCAUUAGAGAAAAUACAUCCUUAAGCAAUCUUGGAAUGGGGAGAAAGUCCUCCUAAACAAGUCAUAAAACCUAAAAGGUCUAAGAGAAAAGACUGACAGAUUUAGCUACAUAAAAAUAUAACAUUUCGGCCCAGGAGAAGAAGCAUAAAGAAUGAUACGUGGGGGCUUCCCUUGUGGCGCAGUGGUUAAGAAUCACCUGCCAAAGCAGGGGACACAGGUUUGAACCCUGGUCCGGGAAGAUCCCACAUGCCGUGAGCAACUAAGCCUCUGCACCAUAACUACUGAGCCUGUGCUCUAGAGCCCACGAGCCACAACUACUGAGACCACGUGCCCCAACUACUGAAGCCUGCGUGCCUAGAGCCUGUGCACCGCAAUGAAGAGUAGCCCCUGCUCGCUGCAACUAGAGAAAGCCUGCACGCAGCAACAAAGACCCAACACAGCCAAAAAUAAAUAAAUAAAUAAAAUAAAUUUAUUUAAAAAAAAAAGAAUGACACAUAAGAACUUAUUUCCUCAAUAGAUAAAGAGCUAUUACAAAUCAGUAAGAGACCAUUUGGCCAAAAGAAGCAUGAAUAGGCAAAAACAUGAAUAGGCUGAUUGCUCCUAAGUAGGUCUUUCUUGUAUUAAGUCACAGAGUCUCUGUACACUCUAGAACGACACAUGGAGUGUGCAGUGGGAAGACAGAGAUAUGUCAGGCUUAUAUAGGAGGAAUAAGAGUGGAAAAGUAUGGUAAGGCUUUAUGUUUGUGUGGGUAGGAUGUGGAGAGCAAAGGGAAGAGAGAGAGAGAGAGAGAGAGAGAGACAGAAGUAGAAAUGUAUAAGGCAUGACUUGGGGACCAGAAAGAUUGGAAUGGAAUGUUUUUUAAGAGAAACAUUAGAGGGCAUGGCAGGACAUAUAGAUUGGGGACUUAACUGGAAGUCUUUGAUGCCAGCCUAGGCAUUUAGAAUUGAUCUCCUAGGUAGUGGAGAAGAGCCAUUGAAGGUUUUUUUUUUUUUUUUUUUUUUUUUUGCGGUACGCGGGCCUCUCACUGCUGCGGCCUCUCCCGCCACGGAGCACAGGCUCCGGACGUGCAGGCUCAGCAACCAUGGCUCACGGGCCCAGCUGCUCCGCGGCAUGUGGGAUCCUCCCAGACCGGGGCACAAACCCGCAUCCCCUGCAUCGGCAGGCGGACUCCCAACCACUGGGCCACCAGGGAAGCCCCCAUUGAAGGUUCUUAAACAGGGCUGAGACAGGUCUCAAGCAUAGGAGGUAAAACUGAAUUAGCAAAUUAGUUAGGCAAAAGGAUAGUUAUUAUCUACAACUAAAUCAUUGUUAUGUUCAACUCAAGAACAAUCCCCUGGCACAGAGCCUUGUGUUCUCAACAUAUGUCUGCUGAAUUUUUAUUAUUUUGAAUAUAAAAUUACUGUAGCCUAGAUGUUAUUUGGCCUCCCCAGGUUUUUCAUAUAAAAUGAUGUGACAUUUUAAAUCUGAAGUAAGUGACUAAAUCUUUCUCUUGCUCAAACCCAGUCCAAGGGGUGAGAUGAGGUUAGACAUUAUGGCAGCCCUCCAUCCUCCUUGCUCCUCCUGCCCUCAGAUGGGCAGCCAGAUCCUGGGUUAAGCACCACUUUUGAUUCCUCUGGUUCUUUCUCUGAUACUACCUAUCAUCAUAUGCCACCCCUCCAGGCUUUCCAGAGUUCUACAGCAAGUAUGGUGCAAGGCUGUGAUGUAGAAUGAAUGAAACAGGACAAAAUGCCAUGAAGUCAGUAUCCUGCAGUUGCACCACUUAAAACAGGUGUCUGCCUUUAGAAAAUAUAUCCACAAAGUCCCCUCUACUGUGGGCACAGGCUUGUCAUAGGAACUGAUGGGUAAGAGAAAAGGAUGGUUGAAAUACAACCCAGUCUAUUCACCUCAAAUCAUCGACAUUUUAUUCAUGAUGUCCUAAUUAACUCUGGAUGCUUUUUUUGUCCUUUAUCCUUUUUUAUAUCAAAAAAGUGAACUGUGUUGGUUGCCCCAUGUCAUUUGUAGAGAACUGUGGAAGCUAAUUAAAAACAAAACCAAAAGCCACAGAUGUAAUUAUUACAUAAUGAGGUAAGAAUAACAUUAUCUGAUGCUAUUACAUAUACCAAGAGUGAAUUUUAAUUAGAACCCCAGGUGGUUACUGAGAAAUGAGGUAUAAAGAAAUUUUACCAUGACUGCCUAUUUGCAAAAUAAUUAUGCAUCACAAUUAUUGCUUGGGUAUAAACCAGAUUCUUUGGGAAUACUUCUUAAAAGGAAGACUAUUCUUUGGUCUUGGCCUGUGAAAAACAAAUAAAUAAACACACAUGCCUUAUCAAGACCAGUUUCCUCAAUCUGAUACUGCAGGCAUGUAAGAUUUAGGACCAUCUGAAACAUGUAAUCAUCUAGUAUCAAAGAUUAGAUUCAUUCUUUCUCGUUUCUAUAAAGUAUAAAUAUGAGAUGUAUCUGUAAUGGCAAUGAAAUAAAUAUUUUAAAGCAUCUA
Molecule: long non-coding RNA, 10229 nt
Organism: Orcinus orca (killer whale)
Lineage: Eukaryota; Metazoa; Chordata; Mammalia; Artiodactyla; Delphinidae
Exons: 2
Source: RefSeq, a predicted model, not a curated record